This 253-nucleotide ribosomal RNA is filed under the name uncultured bacterium. RNAcentral describes it as "partial 16S ribosomal RNA". It matches the Rfam family "Bacterial small subunit ribosomal RNA", at positions 524 to 776 of the family's 1533-position model. The record is from RNAcentral.
GACGUAGGGGGCAAGCGUUGUCCGGAAUUAUUGGGCGUAAAGCGCUCGUAGGCGGAUCGACAAGUCUGCGAAGAAAGACCCGGGCUCAACUCGGGGAACGGCGUAGAUACUGUCGACCUUGAGACAAUCAGAGGGUGAUGGAAUUCCCGGUGUAGCGGUGAAAUGCGUAGAUAUCGGGAGGUACACCAGUGGCGAAGGCGAUCACCUGGGGUUGUUCUGACGCUGAGGAGCGAAAGCUAGGGGAGCAAACGGG